This 25-nucleotide non-coding RNA is filed under the name Mus musculus (house mouse). The record is from RNAcentral. Lineage: Eukaryota; Metazoa; Chordata; Mammalia; Rodentia; Muridae.
UGGCAUGAAGAGGCUGUGGGCAGGC